RNAcentral lists this ribosomal RNA (253 nucleotides) under uncultured bacterium. RNAcentral describes it as "partial 16S ribosomal RNA". It matches the Rfam family "Bacterial small subunit ribosomal RNA", at positions 524 to 776 of the family's 1533-position model. The record is from RNAcentral.
UACGUAGGGUCCGAGCGUUGCCCGGAAUUAUUGGGCGUAAAGGGCUCGUAGGCGGUUCGUCACGUCGGGAGUGAAAACUCGGGGCUUAACCCCGAGCCUGCUUCCGAUACGGGCAGACUAGAGGUAGGCAGGGGAGAGCGGAACUCCUGGUGUAGCGGUGGAAUGCGCAGAUAUCAGGAAGAACACCGGUGGCGAAGGCGGCUCUCUGGGCCUUACCUGACGCUGAGGAGCGAAAGCGUGGGUAGCGAACAGG